This 497-nucleotide ribosomal RNA is filed under the name uncultured bacterium. Its description in RNAcentral is "partial 16S ribosomal RNA". It matches the Rfam family "Bacterial small subunit ribosomal RNA", at positions 28 to 507 of the family's 1533-position model. The record is from RNAcentral.
GAUGAACGCUGGCGGCGUGCCUAAUACAUGCAAGUCGAGCGAACAGACGAGGAGCUUGCUCCUCUGACGUUAGCGGCGGACGGGUGAGUAACACGUGGAUAACCUACCUAUAAGACUGGGAUAACUUCGGGAAACCGGAGCUAAUACCGGAUAAUAUAUUGAACCGCAUGGUUCAAUAGUGAAAGACGGUUUUGCUGUCACUUAUAGAUGGAUCCGCGCCGCAUUAGCUAGUUGGUAAGGUAACGGCUUACCAAGGCAACGAUGCGUAGCCGACCUGAGAGGGUGAUAGCCCACACGGGAACUUGGACACGCUCCAGGCUCCUACGGGAGGCAGCAGUAUGGAAUCUUCCGCAAUGGGCGAAAGCCUGACGGAGCAACGCCGCGUGAGUGAUGAAGGUCUUCGGAUCGUAAUACUCUGUUAUUAGGGAAGAACAAAUGUGUAAGUAACUAUGCACGUCUUGACGGUACCUAGUCAGAAAGCCACGGCUAACUACGUG